This 59-nucleotide small RNA is filed under the name Staphylococcus simiae CCM 7213 = CCUG 51256. RNAcentral describes it as "Staphylococcus simiae CCM 7213 Staphylococcus sRNA sau-5949". It matches the Rfam family "Staphylococcus sRNA sau-5949". The record is from Rfam by way of RNAcentral. Lineage: Bacteria; Bacillati; Bacillota; Bacilli; Caryophanales; Staphylococcaceae.
UUAUCUCCUUAGAUUAUUUGUUUAGUCACUUUUAAUUAUAGAGAUAAUUGCGCUUUUUC